GCGCCGGGCCGCAGCUGCCCAGGCCAAGCCUCCUCAGUAGGUUCCGUCGCCUUUUAAAACCGCCACCUAUCCCUCUGGAGUGGCCUGCCUCGUCCUUCUGCUUCGCCUCGCCUUCAGGGGCCACUUCCAAACUUCACUGUGGAAACCGCCAGAGCUUUGGGUCCAAAGCGCGCGCGAGGCUCAGCCGCAGCUCCACCUUCGCCUGCCCACAGGAAGCCAUCUUCCGCCCACCGCUCAGGCAGAAGCCCCGCCUCUUCCUGUUUCCGGGCCCCGGGGCUCACUUCCGGCCCAAAAGGAUGCCGUCCGCCCUCGGGCCAUUGGUGGAGCGUAUUUGACUGUCAGAACCCGCAGCCAAUGAGUGACCGACUUGCUACCAGUACCAACCCCACCGACUUCUGAAAGACUCCUCUCUCCGGAGGCUCUCGAUGUUGUUUUGUUUUGUUUUGUUUUGUUUUGUUUUGUUUUGUUUUGUUUGUUUUUUUGUUUUAAUUUUUUUUUUAUUGGAGUUCAAUUUGCAAACAUAUAGCAUAACACCCAGUGCUCAUCCAACCAAGUGCCCGCCCUCGAUGGUUUUUUUGUUGUUGCAAGGGAUAGAAGCUCCAUACGGAAGAAUCUGUAAUUAGGCAGACCGAUGUGUGUGGUCUGCAUGCUGGGCCAUUUCCUGACUUGGGUCAUUUUGUCUCUUACCAUUGGCCAUGAGGGGAUCAACUAUCAGAGUUCAGAUGGCACAAAACAAAUUCAUGCUCCCAAACAAAACCAGGAUACCACAUUGACGACCUUGAUACUUUUGAGGAAUACUGGCCAGGUGUUUUGUUAGAAUGUCCCAAGAUUGGGAUUUGUCUGAUAUUUUUUUCAUUUGAUGAGACUUGUGUGUUUUGAGAAGAAAGAUCGUAGAGGACAUCUCAUUGACAUCACUUCGUAUCAAGGUCCCGUUUGGAAGGAAGUCAUUACAAGAAGCACUUGAGGAGGAAGGGUUAUCCUCCAUCUUCUGGAGGGUGGAGGAGCUACAUCAAUUUGGAGUUCUAUUACAAGACAGA
Long non-coding RNA from Canis lupus familiaris (dog), 1037 nucleotides. RefSeq lists it as uncharacterized. The record is from RefSeq and is a predicted model, not a curated record. The transcript has 4 exons. Lineage: Eukaryota; Metazoa; Chordata; Mammalia; Carnivora; Canidae.